Molecule: ribosomal RNA, 465 nt
Filed under: Vreelandella stevensii
Lineage: Bacteria; Pseudomonadati; Pseudomonadota; Gammaproteobacteria; Oceanospirillales; Halomonadaceae
Description: partial 16S ribosomal RNA
Rfam family: Bacterial small subunit ribosomal RNA
Source: RNAcentral
CCUACGGGCGGCAGCAGUGGGGAAUAUUGGACAAUGGGCGAAAGCCUGAUCCAGCCAUGCCGCGUGUGUGAAGAAGGCCUUCGGGUUGUAAAGCACUUUCAGUGGGGAAGAAAGCCUUGGGGCUAAUACCCUCGAGGAAGGACAUCACCCACAGAAGAAGCACCGGCUAACUCCGUGCCAGCAGCCGCGGUAAUACGGAGGGUGCGAGCGUUAAUCGGAAUUACUGGGCGUAAAGCGCGCGUAGGCGGUCUGAUAAGCCGGUUGUGAAAGCCCCGGGCUCAACCUGGGAACGGCAUCCGGAACUGUCAGGCUAGAGUGCAGUAGAGGAAGGUAGAAUUCCCGGUGUAGCGGUGAAAUGCGUAGAGAUCGGGAGGAAUACCAGUGGCGAAGGCGGCCUUCUGGACUGACACUGACGCUGAGGUGCGAAAGCGUGGGUAGCAAACAGGAUUAGAUACCCUGGUAGUC